This 263-nucleotide ribosomal RNA is filed under the name uncultured bacterium. RNAcentral's name for it is "partial 16S ribosomal RNA". It matches the Rfam family "Bacterial small subunit ribosomal RNA", at positions 524 to 786 of the family's 1533-position model. The record is from RNAcentral.
UACGUAGGUGGCGAGCGUUGUCCGGAAUUACUGGGCGUAAAGGGCGUGUAGGCGGCCUUUUAAGUCAGAUGUGAAAUCUCAGGGCUUAACCCUGAAACUGCAUUUGAAACUGGAGGGCUUGAGGAUCGGAGAGGGCAGUGGAAUUCCCAGUGUAGCGGUGAAAUGCGUAGAUAUUGGGAGGAACACCAGUGGCGAAGGCGACUGCCUGGACGACACCUGACGCUGAGGCGCGAAAGCUAGGGGAGCGAACGGGAUUAGAUACC